CUAGUGUUGAUACUCUCAAUCGUGUUAGAGGAGAAGUCAGUGAGAUUCGAUCAGUCAUGGUUGAGAACAUUGAGAAGAUAAUGGAGAGAGGUGAUAGGAUUGAGCUUCUUGUUGAUAAAACAGCAACAA
Molecule: non-coding RNA, 129 nt
Organism: Camelina sativa (false flax)
Lineage: Eukaryota; Viridiplantae; Streptophyta; Magnoliopsida; Brassicales; Brassicaceae
Source: RefSeq, a predicted model, not a curated record